AUUAACGCUGGCGGCAUGUCUAAGGCAUGCAAGUCGAACGAAUUGUUUUUCUUCGGAAGUUCAGUUAGUGGCAAACGGGAGCGUAACACAUUGGUAACUCACCCCGAGCUCGUGAACAACUUAUGGAAACGUAAGCUAAUACACGAUAUUAUCCCUACAGAUAUGUAGGGAUGAAAGCUCCGGCGGCACGGGAGAGGCCUAUGCACUAUCAGUUAGUUGGUGAGGUAAUGGCUCACCAAGGCAAUGACGGGUAGCGGUUCUGAGAGGAUGAUCCGCCACACUGGUACUGAGACACGGACCAGACUCCUACGGGAGGCAGCAGUGAGGAAUAUUGCACAAUGGGGGGAACCCUGAUGCAGCAACGCCGCGUGGAGGAUGACGCAUUUCGGUGUGUAAACUCCUUUUAUAUGUCAAGAAAAUGACGGUAGCAUAUGAAUAAGCACCGGCUAACUCCGU
RNAcentral lists this ribosomal RNA (456 nucleotides) under uncultured bacterium. Its description in RNAcentral is "bacterial SSU rRNA". It matches the Rfam family "Bacterial small subunit ribosomal RNA", at positions 29 to 506 of the family's 1533-position model. The record is from RNAcentral.